AUGGUCUUUGCCGGUGUACGUAGAGGUGAUCUAUACAUUGUUGAUUUCACUAAAAAGGCUCAACCUAGAACUUGCUUUAUUGCUAAAUCUUCUAAAGGUUGGUUAUGGCAUAGACGAUUAGGUCAUGUUGGCAUGCGAAACCUUGACAAGCUUAUUAAAGGAAAUCAUAUCCUUGGCGUUAACGAUGUCAUAUUUGAUAAGGAUAGACUUUGUCGCGCUUGUCAAGAAGGUAAACAGGUUGGAGGAAGGCAUCCCGUGAAGAACAUCAUGACCACUAGGAGGCCACUCGAGCUACUUCACAUGGAUCUUUUCGGUCCCAACACCUACAAAAAUCUCGGUGGAAAUUAUUUUGGUCUAGUUAUAGUUGAUGAUUUUUCAAGAUUCACGUGGGUGUUCUUUCUCAAUGAUAAAUAG
This 414-nucleotide ribosomal RNA is filed under the name Triticum aestivum (bread wheat). RNAcentral's name for it is "partial small subunit ribosomal RNA". The record is from RNAcentral. Lineage: Eukaryota; Viridiplantae; Streptophyta; Magnoliopsida; Poales; Poaceae.